GAGGGGGUCGCGGCUGAUUAGCUAGUUGGCGGGGUAAUGGCCCACCAAGGCGAAGAUCGGUAUCCGGCCUGAGAGGGCGCACGGACACACUGGAACUGAAACACGGUCCAGACUCCUACGGGAGGCAGCAGUGGGGAAUUUUGCGCAAUGGGGGAAACCCUGACGCAGCAACGCCGCGUGGAGGAUGAAGUCCCUUGGGACGUAAACUCCUUUCGACCCGGACGAUACUGACGGUACCGUUUGUAAGCUCCGGCUAACUCCGUGCCAGCAGCCGCGGUAAUACGGGGGGAGCAAGCGUUGUUCGGAUUUACUGGGCGUAAAGGGCGCGUAGGCGGCCACUGCAAGUCAAUUGUGAAAUCUCCGGGCUUAACUCGGAAAGGUCAACUGAUACUGCAGGGCUAGAGUGCGGAAGGGGCAACUGGAAUUCACGGUGUAGCGGUGAAAUGCGUAGAUAUCGAGAGG
RNAcentral lists this ribosomal RNA (462 nucleotides) under uncultured Acidobacteriota bacterium. RNAcentral's name for it is "bacterial SSU rRNA". It matches the Rfam family "Bacterial small subunit ribosomal RNA", at positions 224 to 704 of the family's 1533-position model. The record is from RNAcentral. Lineage: Bacteria; Pseudomonadati; Acidobacteriota.